AGGAUGAACGCUAGCGGCAGGCUUAACACAUGCAAGUCGAGGGGUAUGGUUCUUCGGAACCAGAGACCGGCGCACAGGUGCGUAACGCGUAUGCAAUCUACCUUUUUACAGAGGGAUAGCCCAGAGAAAUUUGGAUUAAUACCUCAUAGUAUAAUGACUCGGCAUCGGGAUAUUAUUAAAGUCACAACGGUAAAAGAUGAGCAUGCGUCCCAUUAGCUAGUUGGUAAGGUAACGGCUUACCAAGGCUACGAGUGGGUAGGGGUCCGUGGAGGGGGAGACGUACCCCCCGACACGUGGUACUGACGACGACCGGACCAGACCGUUCCGUACGGGAGGCAGCAGGUGAGGAAUAGUUGGACGAAGUGGGCGACGAAGCC
This 377-nucleotide ribosomal RNA is filed under the name uncultured soil bacterium. RNAcentral describes it as "bacterial SSU rRNA". It matches the Rfam family "Bacterial small subunit ribosomal RNA", at positions 26 to 383 of the family's 1533-position model. The record is from RNAcentral.